Molecule: non-coding RNA, 943 nt
Organism: Prunus avium (sweet cherry)
Lineage: Eukaryota; Viridiplantae; Streptophyta; Magnoliopsida; Rosales; Rosaceae
Source: RefSeq, a predicted model, not a curated record
GGGAAGUGGUGCCAGUGAAUCAAAGGGUGGGAAAGAGAAGGGAGGGCUUACCUCUAGUGGCUUAACAUUUGAGGAAGGCAAUGACACAUAAGACUUUCAGUUUUAACUAACAACACCUGAAAGCCCACAUGAACUCCUUUGCUAGAAUUUGCUGAAAAAGAAAUUGUAAUCUUCAUUAAGCAGGCUUACAUAGGACAAUAAGAAAUAUGGCUGCAGACCCUUCCCCAAGGAUGCUAAUCACUAAUAAGGGACCAUGUGUCUGCUACAUUGCUUGGACUCCACGCUUGAAUGGUUUCUGGAAGCUCAGCUUCACAGGUCAUUACAAGUACGAAUCAAAGACUGCCUCAGUCGGCUGCAUUAUGAGAUAUCACAAUGCUGUAUUAAAAGCAGCCUUUGCGCAACAUGUAGGCAUGGUCAGCAGCUUUACAAGGGCUCAGUCGACUGCAUUCAGCCGGGCCCUUGAAUUUGCUAAACGUGAAGGUGUCGAUUACCUUGAAAUCGAAGGAAAUCAUCCGUUUGUGUUUCGGAUUAUGUGGGGCGACGUCACCAGAACUAGCUCUGUGAUCAGGGGGCUUGUUAAUAAAUGCAGAUGUGAUUUAAGACAGAUUAGGAGUGUGAGGCUCCGACAUGUCAACAUGUAUGGAAAUUUGGCUGCAAACUUGCUUGCGAGAAUUCCUCUGCAGCCUCAACAAGAGAGGUCUUGGUCCGGAAGAAAUAAGUGGAAUUCUAGUGAGGGAUGUGAUCGGUCGUUGGAUCCCUUUCUCGGACCUAUGAGUGAGUCAUCAUUUGGAUGACACAGAAGGACUUUGUAGAUUUCUUUCUUCAAGGAAAAAUCUAUUUAAGUUGCUUUUCUUUUUUGUUAAGUAGCAGUUUGCGCAUCUUUUAUUUUCAGACAUGAAAUAUUUUAGAUUAGUGAUGAUUGUGAAGCCUUUGAUUUUUCUAA